GCGCUCGUCAUCCAGCUGGACAGGAUGCCGGGGGAAGGACGCUCGACGGACCGCCGCCGGGAAUGUCGCCGCCGGUCACGUCGGUUCGAUCCCGGCCGGGCGCU
This 104-nucleotide transfer RNA is filed under the name Micromonospora sp. STR1s_5. RNAcentral's name for it is "tRNA-OTHER". Lineage: Bacteria; Bacillati; Actinomycetota; Actinomycetes; Micromonosporales; Micromonosporaceae. The record is from RNAcentral.